This 481-nucleotide ribosomal RNA is filed under the name uncultured bacterium. Its description in RNAcentral is "partial 16S ribosomal RNA". It matches the Rfam family "Bacterial small subunit ribosomal RNA", at positions 30 to 507 of the family's 1533-position model. The record is from RNAcentral.
AUUGAACGCUGGCGGCAUGCUUUACACAUGCAAGUCGAACGGUAACAGGCCGCAAGGUGCUGACGAGUGGCGAACGGGUGAGUAAUGCAUCGGAACGUGCCCAGUCGUGGGGAUAACUACUCGAAAGAGUAGCUAAUACCGCAUACGAUCUAUGGAUGAAAGCGGGGGACCGUAAGGCCUCGCGCGAUUGGAGCGGCCGAUGUCAGAUUAGGUAGUUGGUGGGGUAAAGGCUCACCAAGCCAACGAUCUGUAGCUGGUCUGAGAGGACGACCAGCCACACUGGGACUGAGACACGGCCCAGACUCCUACGGGAGGCAGCAGUGGGGAAUUUUGGACAAUGGGCGCAAGCCUGAUCCAGCAAUGCCGCGUGCAGGAAGAAGGCCUUCGGGUUGUAAACUGCUUUUGUACGGAACGAAACGGCUCUGGUUAAUACCCGGGGCUAAUGACGGUACCGGAAGAAUAAGCACCGGCUAACUACGUG